GACGAACGCUGGCGGCGUGCUUAACACAUGCAAGUCGAACGGAAAGGCCCUGCUUUUGUGGGGUGCUCGAGUGGCGAACGGGUGAGUAACACGUGAGUAACCUGCCCUUGACUUUGGGAUAACUUCAGGAAACUGGGGCUAAUACCGGAUAGGAGCUCCUGCUGCAUGGUGGGGGUUGGAAAGUUUCGGCGGGUGGGGAUGGACGCGCGGCUUAUCAGCUUGUUGGUGGGGUAGUGGCUUACCAAGGCUUUGAAGGGUCGCCGGCAUGAGAGGGUGACCGGCGACAUGAGUACUGCGGUACGGACCAGAGUCCUACGGGAGGCAGCAGGCGGGAAUAUUGCACAAUGGGCGGAAGCCUGAUGAAGCAGCGCCGCGUGCGGGAUGACCGCCUUCGGGUUGUAAACCGCUUUCGCCUGUGACGAAGCGUGAGUGACGGUAAUGGGUAAAGAAGCACCGGCUAACUACGUG
RNAcentral lists this ribosomal RNA (468 nucleotides) under uncultured bacterium. Its description in RNAcentral is "partial 16S ribosomal RNA". It matches the Rfam family "Bacterial small subunit ribosomal RNA", at positions 28 to 507 of the family's 1533-position model. The record is from RNAcentral.